CCUACAAUAAAUUGAAGAGAACAGGUAAAAUUUGAUCUUGACGAACAUUUGAACUAGAAAAAAGAUCAGCGAGGACGUUUCUCGUGAUCGAUCUUGGUGACAAUCCCCAGAAAAGCAAAAUAUCCCUAAAGCUGAAGGUAUCAUCAGUUAUCAUGGGAAAGCAAAGGCGUGGUUGUACACAUUCAUCAGCAGCAAUGAAGAUUUCGCGCUUCAAUAUUACUAUGAUUUUCAAUAAAUAUGUGUUGGAAUAAACAAUGUUCUUAAUAAUGGAUUUAUAAUUAGGAAGUUCUACUCUAAUAAAAAUGAAAUUUUUUUGUUGUGAAAGUGGGACGUUACACAAUCAUUUCAGAACGAAACCAGAACCAAUAUCAAGAAUCUGGAACAACAGGUGUCUCAACUUGUCACUUAUGUGGGUCAGCUAGAAUCUCAAGGAAAGUUAUCGGGGCACAUUAAAAAUAACCCAAAGCACAAUCUGAGUGCUAUUUUCUUUAGAAGUGGAAAAGUUAUGAAGGUCCAAGCGUAUCUGAACCAAAAAAAAAAAGUUGAAGAAGACUAUGAAGAAGUUAUGGUUGAAGAAGAAGAUGAAAAAGAUAAAGAAAUAGAAGCUGAAGAAGAAUAUGAAGAAGUUUUGGUUGACAAAGAUGAUGAAAAAAGAUGAAUGAAAAGAAACCCUAAGACCAGACAAUCCAAAUCUGAGGGAGUACAAUCCAGUUGUACUAUUCCCAUCCCGAUUGAAGAAUACCAAGCGUGAGCGAGAGGAUGAGGAUAUAAAUCUUUUGUGAGGUUGAGGUAAAAUUUCCACUUUUAGAUGUUAUCAAACACAUCCCUCAUUAUUCCAAAUUUUUAUAUGAAUUAUGUGUUUCAAAGAAAAGAUUUAAAACUAACGAAACAUUAAAAGCUAGUGAAAAUAUUUCUGCUAUUUGGCAAAAGGGUUUACCUCCAAAGUGUAUGGAUCCGAGAGUUUUCUCGAUUCUUUGUAAAUUGGGCGACCUUAAUUUUCCAAAAGUCAUGCUUGAUCUAGGAGCUUCAGUCAAUGUCCUUCCCUUUUCUAUUUUUGAAUAAUUAAAAUUGAGAACUUUAAAAAAGACCAAGAUAAUUAUCGAGUUGGCUGAUCACUCGAUAGUACACCCAAAAGGUGUACUGGAGGAUGUUCUUGUCCAAGUGAAUAAUUAGAUCUUUGUUGCUAAUUUUUAUAUUCUGGACAUGGAUAAUUUGGACAUAUAAAAUACAAACUCUAUCAUUUUGUGAAGUCCAUUUAUGAAAACUGCAAAAACAAAAAUAGAUGUCUUUAAUGGCACGAUUUCAUUGGAGUUUUAUGAGGAAGUGGUUAAUUUUAAAAUAAAUGAUGAUGAUUUUCCUUCUGAUAAAGUAAAUGUUAGUUAUCUGAGUACCAACAGUCUUUUGUUUGAGGACUUCUGUGAGUUUUCUAAUGUCUCUAUGUAAGAAAUAUUUGUUGACAGGAAAUUAUCUAACAGAUUAGAAGAGCUAGAAAAGGGAAAUAUUAGGAAAAAAGAAGGGAAAUUAGCUGUUGAAAAGAAGUUAAUAGAAGAUGAUAAAUCUGAAGAGGAAAAGGAGCAUCUAACUUCUACUGAAGAAACAUCAGAAAAGGAUCUAAAAGAAAAAGCUAAGCUUGGGGAAGAAGAGGAGAAACUGAUUUCUGCUAAAGAAAAACCAGAGAAAAAACUGAAAAGAAAAUGUAGGAGAUGUGAUUUUUGAUAAGAAACUGUCACACCCCCGAACCGUCAGAAAUGACGGCGGAAACGUCCGGGGGCGAGUGAUGUCAUGUGUAGUAUCACAACAAUUGUAUCAUAGCAAACAUAGUAAACACAACCAAACAUUGAAUACAUAAUAGAAUAAGAUUUACAUUGUCAUUACAAA
Lactuca sativa (garden lettuce) is the source of this 1878-nucleotide long non-coding RNA. RefSeq lists it as uncharacterized. The record is from RefSeq and is a predicted model, not a curated record. Lineage: Eukaryota; Viridiplantae; Streptophyta; Magnoliopsida; Asterales; Asteraceae.